This is a long non-coding RNA of Pyrus x bretschneideri (Chinese white pear), 498 nucleotides long. RefSeq lists it as uncharacterized. The record is from RefSeq and is a predicted model, not a curated record. The transcript has 2 exons. NCBI's taxonomy places the organism in Eukaryota, Viridiplantae, Streptophyta, Magnoliopsida, Rosales, Rosaceae.
UAAAACCCGGACGCGUCCCCUGUCAAAAAACCGGAUUGGAUAAUCGGCGACAGGUCCGAACUUUGUAAUUGGGGGGAUUAGUUCUGGUUGGGGGUCUUCGGUCAACAAACAAAAAAUAACGCAAAAACAAUUACAGGGACGAAGAACAAGUAGCAAUAUCGCAAAGUCCGCGUUUGGGAAAAACCCUAGACUCCCUCCCCCAAUUCGAUCAAGAAAGGGGAUUUUGGUGGCUAGAUCGGUCCCUGUGGAGGCUAUGUGCUCGUUUUUCUGGUUUCGGGGUUGAUUAAAUUAUUGGUCCGGAGGUGAUUCUGUACUUUCUGGGCCUUCAUUUUUGGCGGUGAAAAUGGAUUUGGUAGCUAGUUGCAAGGCAUCUUUGUUGUUUUUUUUUAUUUGAUUACACUUUUUUUCUUGAUGCUUGUUGUAUUAGUUGCUGAAUUUGCUGGAAAAAGUCGAGUUUGCGGCGAUUGUUUAUUCAAUUUGAUGGAUGAUGCAAUUUUG